UUGACCUUCGGAUCAAGUAGGGAUACCCCGCUGAACUUAAGCAUAUC
This 47-nucleotide ribosomal RNA is filed under the name Coccomyces multangularis. RNAcentral describes it as "partial 28S ribosomal RNA". The record is from RNAcentral. Lineage: Eukaryota; Fungi; Ascomycota; Leotiomycetes; Rhytismatales; Rhytismataceae.